UUCUAGCCCCGAUUGCAGUGGAAAUCCUUUUUUGAAAAAAAAGAUUGCAACGGAAAGCGGGAAAUAGC
This 68-nucleotide small RNA is filed under the name Chryseobacterium aquaeductus. RNAcentral describes it as "Flavo-1 RNA". It matches the Rfam family "Flavo-1 RNA". Lineage: Bacteria; Pseudomonadati; Bacteroidota; Flavobacteriia; Flavobacteriales; Weeksellaceae. The record is from Rfam by way of RNAcentral.